GGAGCUUAGUUCGAUGCUUGGGCAGUUGAAUCUACAGAAAGGACACGGCUGAUAUUAGUGCGAAAGUCAACCAAUACAACUCAGAGCUGUCCAGAAUUCUGGAUUAUCAUGCACCACUUAUCACCAGAGAGAUAAUUAGUCGUCCAGCUGCACCUUGGUACACUGAACAAAUUAAAAACGAAAAACGUAUCAGAAGAAAACUCGAGCGGAUGUGAAGAGGACGGCCAUCCGAAUUAAAGUACUAAAUGUGCUUUGUAACAUAUUAGGAACGUUAUCUCUACUAUAUGAGGUAUAAAAUAUUGGUACU
Molecule: long non-coding RNA, 307 nt
Organism: Dendronephthya gigantea
Lineage: Eukaryota; Metazoa; Cnidaria; Anthozoa; Malacalcyonacea; Nephtheidae
Exons: 3
Source: RefSeq, a predicted model, not a curated record